GGUUUACCUGUGUGACUGCGUACCUUUUGUAUAAUGGGUCAGCGACUUAUAUUCUGUAGCAAGGUUAACCGAAUAGGGGAGCCGGAGGGAAACCGAGUCUUAAUUGGGCGUUAAGUUGCAGGGUAUAGACCCGAAACCCGGUGAUCUAGCCAUGGGCAGGUUGAAGGUUGGGUAACACUAACUGGAGGACCGAACCGACUAAUGUUGAAAAAUUAGCGGAUGACCUGUGGCUGGGGGUGAAAGGCCAAUCAAACCGGGAGAUAGCUGGUUCUCCCCGAAAGCUAUUUAGGUAGCGCCUCGUGAACUCAUCUCCGGGGGUAGAGCACUGUUUCGGCUAGGGGGCCAUCCCGGCUUACCAACCCGAUGCAAACUGCGAAUACCGGAGAAUGUUAUCACGGGAGACACACGGCGGGUGCUAACGUCCGUCGUGAAGAGGGAAACAACCCAGACCGCCAGCUAAGGUCCCAAAGUCAUGGUUAAGUGGGAAACGAUGUGGGAAGGCCCAGACAGCCAGGAUGUUGGCUUAGAAGCAGCCAUCAUUUAAAGAAAGCGUAAUAGCUCACUGGUCGAGUCGGCCUGCGCGGAAGAUGUAACGGGGCUAAACCAUGCACCGAAGCUGCGGCAGCGACGCUGAUGCGUUGUUGGGUAGGGGAGCGUUCUGUAAGCCUGCGAAGGUGGCCUGUGAGGGUUGCUGGAGGUAUCAGAAGUGCGAAUGCUGACAUAAGUAACGAUAAAGCGGGUGAAAAGCCCGCUCGCCGGAAGACCAAGGGUUCCUGUCCAACGUU
Molecule: ribosomal RNA, 785 nt
Filed under: Salmonella enterica subsp. enterica serovar Montevideo
Lineage: Bacteria; Pseudomonadati; Pseudomonadota; Gammaproteobacteria; Enterobacterales; Enterobacteriaceae
Description: partial 23S ribosomal RNA
Rfam family: Bacterial large subunit ribosomal RNA
Source: RNAcentral